This 439-nucleotide long non-coding RNA is filed under the name Monodelphis domestica (gray short-tailed opossum). RNAcentral describes it as "lncRNA (ENSMODG00000045662.1)". The record is from RNAcentral. Lineage: Eukaryota; Metazoa; Chordata; Mammalia; Didelphimorphia; Didelphidae.
AAGGAAACAAGACUGACAGUUUGUGGGGGAAGGGCCAACUGGGAGUGGCAGUUGGGUCUUGUGACUAGCACUUCCUUCCUGCCCAGUGGGACUGACUUCCGGGUAUUGGAGGAGGAAGGAGCUUGUUCAGCCCGGUCUGGUGUGGUGUGCCGCCUCUUCUUGGUUCAGCCCGAAGAUUCAGGCCCAUUCAUCUCUGAAGGUUCCAUCCUUAUCUCAUCCUUUCAUAUGAGAUGUUUUGGAAAUUCACCAUGGCAGAAUUUCCAGUGGGAUAUGAAGGAAAUGGAAAACCCAAAGACUUCUCCUUGCCCACUGCUUCACCAUUCUGACAUUGCUCUGAGCGUAGUUUUUUUCCUUAUCCAUAAUAUUUCUGUAGUUUACCUUUCUUUCCAUCAGUUUCUCUUUUAAAGUUGUAGGGUUUUUUUGGAGUAUGAUUUAUUCA